Molecule: transfer RNA, 97 nt
Filed under: Curtobacterium citreum
Lineage: Bacteria; Bacillati; Actinomycetota; Actinomycetes; Micrococcales; Microbacteriaceae
Description: tRNA-Pro
Source: RNAcentral
CGCGGUCCUCGGGCGUGGUGAGCACGACGACGUUCGGGCCGGCGUCGGCCGUGGCGUACGCGGUCAGCCCGUCGGCACGGAGUCCGGCGACGGCGUC